UUACACCAAGGUGUGGCAGUUGUCCAUUGUGUUUCUCGGAAUUUUCUGUUUCAUAAGUUGGGGUCUAUCUUUUAAACAAACCCGGGGGCAACCCCUCUUUGUUCACGGGGGGAUUUAAAGUUUAAACAAAGUUUUUCCCGGCCCUUAUAAGGGGUUAACCACCGCGGGGUUUUGCUUAAAAAAUUGGUUGUAAUUCCCACCAAGGCCUGGCCCGCGGGUCCAUUAAAUUGUUUGUUAAAUGUAAUGGUUCACUCGGGUCCAUUGUUCAUAGGCCAGGUUGGAGGAAUUGUUACGUCACCAACGGGACUUGGAACCUGGUCCCUAAUUUCCUACGGGAGGCAAGCAUUCAGGAAUUUUUCCCCAAUGGCGGAAAGCUUGAUGGAGCCACGCCCGCGUGGUUGAUGAAGGGUUUCCGGCUCGUAAAACAAUUGUUGUAAGAGAAGAAUGACAUUGAGAGUAACUGUUCAAUGUGUGACGGUAUCUUACCAGAAAGGAACGGGUUAAAUACGUGCCAGCAGCCGCGGUAAUACGUAUGUUCCAAGCGUUAUCCGGAUUUAUUGGGCGUAAAGCGAGCGCAGACGGUUAUUUAAGUCUGAAGUGAAAGCCCUCAGCUCAACUGAGGAAUUGCUUUGGAAACUGGAUGACUUGAGUGCAGUAGAGGAAAGUGGAACUCCAUGUGUAGCGGUGAAAUGCGUAGAUAUAUGGAAGAACACCAGUGGCGAAGGCGGCUUUCUGGACUGUAACUGACGUUGAGGCUCGAAAGUGUGGGUAGCAAACAGGAUUAGAUACCCUGGUAGUCCACACCGUAAACGAUGAGUGCUAGGUGUUUGAGGGUUUCCGCCCUUAAGUGCCGCAGCUAACGCAUUAAGCACUCCGCCUGGGGAGUACGACCGCAAGGUUGAAACUCAAAGGAAUUGACGGGGACCCGCACAAGCGGUGGAGCAUGUGGUUUAAUUCGAAGCAACGCGAAGAACCUUACCAGGUCUUGACAUCCCUUGACAACUCCAGAGAUGGAGCGUUCCCUUCGGGGACAAGGUGACAGGUGGUGCAUGGUUGUCGUCAGCUCGUGUCGUGAGAUGUUGGGUUAAGUCCCGCAACGAGCGCAACCCUUAUUACUAGUUGCCAGCAUUCAGUUGGGCACUCUAGUGAGACUGCCGGUGACAAACCGGAGGAAGGUGGGGAUGACGUCAAAUCAUCAUGCCCCUUAUGACCUGGGCUACACACGUGCUACAAUGGCGUAUACAACGAGUUGCCAACCCGCGAGGGUGAGCUAAUCUCUUAAAGUACGUCUCAGUUCGGAUUGUAGGCUGCAACUCGCCUACAUGAAGUCGGAAUCGCUAGUAAUCGCGGAUCAGCACGCCGCGGUGAAUACGUUCCCGGGUCUUGUACACACCGCCCGUCACACCAUGAGAGUUUGUAACACCCAAAGCCGGUGGGGUAACCUUCGGGAGCCAGCCGUCUAAGGUGGGACAGAUGAUUAGGGUGAAGUCGUAACAAGGUAGCCGUAGGAAU
Molecule: ribosomal RNA, 1512 nt
Filed under: Weissella cibaria
Lineage: Bacteria; Bacillati; Bacillota; Bacilli; Lactobacillales; Lactobacillaceae
Description: bacterial SSU rRNA
Rfam family: Bacterial small subunit ribosomal RNA (bases 177-1512)
Source: RNAcentral